This 561-nucleotide long non-coding RNA is filed under the name Rattus norvegicus (Norway rat). RNAcentral's name for it is "long non-coding RNA NONRATT032351". Lineage: Eukaryota; Metazoa; Chordata; Mammalia; Rodentia; Muridae. The record is from RNAcentral.
CAGCAUUAGACAUUUUGUUAAUGGAACACAAAAGAGAUGAAGGAAAACUAAAACCAACUGACAAGAUUAUUUUUAUCGGUUAUUUUAUUUAUUUACAUUUCAAAUGUUGUCUUACUUCCUGGUUUCCUUUCCACAAACCCCCUAUUCCAUCCUCCCAUCCCCCAGCUUCUAUGAGGAUUCUCCUUCACCCACCCACCUGAUGAUAUUAGCCGAAAUAUCCAGCAAAGGGAAAGAUAGAACCUGUAGAGACCGCACCAGUGGUGAGUCAUGGCUCUGGUUGAGGUAUGGGGCUACCGAUCCAACUCAAAAAUAUUAACCCAGAAUUGUUCCUGUCUAAAGGAAAUGCAAGAACAAAGGGAAGAACUGACAAGAAUUUUAAACCUCACCAACAAUAAAAGACUUGUUGAAUCCAGAUACAACAAAGACUUCAAAUGGAUUUUGCAUCCACUGAUGAUGUCUUUUUGCAUCGACUUGUCAUGUCUGAGUAUGGAGCAACACUUCAAAGCUUCAUCCUUUCCUAGCUAUGGGCACAAGUCUCAUCAAUGUUUGAAUGACUUUUAA